AAUUCUGUGGCUAGUGUGGAAAUAUUCUCUGCUGUCAUUCCACUGACCUCAGGCACCAAGUCUGCUUUCAGGGGACACUGAGGGACUGUCACUCAGCCGUGUGUGCUUCUGCCAGGAAGCCCCGGAGAGGGGAGCGCUGCUGGGGGAUGUCCCUGCUCAGCUGCCUGCCCCCACACACUCUGUGCCUGGGAGGUGCUUCCGCUGACUGCAAAGUGCAGCACUGAGGGGUUUUGCUUUUCUCUUACAUUGGCACCUCUGUGUUUUGACCGAGCACUGCAGAUUUCUAUUAUCCUCCCUUUUUGUACAUUACUGACAAUAAGUUAUAUCCUCCAGAGUUCUUUAUUUGUGGGAGGGCAGAUUCUGGGGUCUGCUUUUGCUUCUUUUGAGUGACCUGUUGACUUCUGUGGCUUGGAGUUAGGUCUCUGAUGGAGUAUUUGUUGCUAAACUUCCUACCAAGAUGCUGAGAGGCAGACAAAUCUUUGUCAGCUGUGUGACAAGACACCCUGAUAUUGCUGCUUUGCUGCUCACCUGUGCCAGCUGGCCAUUGUACAGACAUGGGUGCCAAAAUGAUGAAAACAGCAGGUGAAGGUGGUCUCCACAUGGGAACAGGCAAGAGGAAGUCUUAAUUACCUGGUUCUGCUCACAUAUCCAGGGGUGGUUUCUCAAGGCAUGUUUUCAUUGGAGAGCCUCUUCUACCCAGUGCAAGAGCUACAGGAGCCCUGGGUUGGACAUCCAAACCUCACACAAGCUUUCUAAUGUUUUGAAUGGCUGCUACGGGAGCUCUUUUGUGCUUGAUCAAUUCAAGGCUACUACUUCUCUUCCUGGGAUCUGAUUAUUGACAGUCCUUUCUUGCUGGGCUCUCAGGUGUGAAAUUCUAUGGCUGGUGACAAGAAGCAGCUAAUCAAAACCACUGGACUAAAGAAGAAUUUCCUACAUACUGUGUGAACGUUGAAGAGAGAAAGGAGAAUAAAAGCAACAGACAUGGAGUAAACAGGUGAAAGAACAUGGUUUGACCUUAAGGGUAGAGCAUGAGUGACAUGAAAGGAGGAAGGAAUGACUCACAUGAGCAUGAAGAUGGAUGAGUUUGCCACUGGUUUAAUAUUACCCGUGCAGCCCUAACGCAGGCAUAGGACAGACCUCCAUGUAUCAGAUCAACUUCACAGACUGCUGGAAAAACUGAUGCUGACUUUCAGAAAGGUUCUGAAUUCAGUGAGAACAUGACUAGGCCAUGUGGGACUGGCAGAAGGAGCCAGAGGUCAUGUGGGCUGCCAAAACGUUGGAAGCACCAAACUUCGUUUUCUGUUUUCAGGAGCUGCAUCUGCUAAAGCCUUCCCUUGUGACUUUGACCUUGGACUACGUCUGAGCUUUGAGAUCCAGGAACACUGCAGGAUUUUUAGCUUAUAUGUUGGAUAUGGUCAUGUCUUAGCUGCAUAUCUGGGUUAGUCCUUGGUGUGAUAUGUUCUCCUACCAGUUCCCAUUUCCAAAAACUGGAGGACAGGUUUAGCCACAUUGUGGCUUCACAGAUCACUUUGGUGGCAGCCUAAAUCAGCUUUUUUUGCUUUGGUUCUCAAUAGAAAAAAUAAAAAUACAAAAUAGAAAUUAUAAUUUUCAACUUUGGAUAGGCCAGUGCCAUUCCUUAAUAAUUAAGCAGUAAACACAACUACUUCAUAAUCCCAAAGUGCUAAUCUUAAUAAUUUUAUAUAAAUACAUAAAUAGGUAAGGGGGUCAUGAAAUCCCACUAUGUUGAAGCCAAGAUAUGGACAGUUAAGUCAGCAAAACCCAGACAUAUAUUAGAGUCUAUCUUCCUCCAAAAUCUCUUCCUCCCUCCAGCCUGCCCCAAGAAGAGAUCCAUGAAGCCAACAGCGCCUUUAAGUACUUGGAUCUAUGUAACUACAAGCAGCAGCUUUGUCAUGAACUGGGCUGUGAAAUAUGGCCUGUGAGAUACAAAUUAGGGGCCAAAUCAUAAGGACUUAUUAAUGUUUUCGACAUUGGCUGUCUGAGCCAAGAAAAAUAUCUCUGAAGUCCCCCUAACAGUCCUCCUCUGUAAAGACUUCCUCAUUUUAGCUCCUUGCUUUUCUUUGCAGAAACAACUUCCACUCCUGGUACACUCUCUCAUCCAUUAAUGAAAAAAGUAAUGCAUCUUUAGGUUGCUGCCGUGACUUGGCCUUAGGCCCCUUAAUAUAAUGUACCCAAGGCCUUAAUUAAUUUGUAAAACUGUACAGAAGAUGAUGUCCCAAAAACCUUUGCAGAGUCAAGUCAAAAUCCUGUACUUAUCAAAGCAGAAAUAUUGAAUCAGGGCCAAGUGUAAUAUAUUUGCAUCCUUUCCAGAAAAUGAAAUGUUUUUGAGGAGAACAAAGUGCUCUUAGAUGUGCUACAGGUUUAUGCAGUGAUAUUGUGCUCAAAUUUCAAAAUUACCACUUGCAUAAGUCAAUUGCAAUAAGAAAAAUGAAAUUUCAUACUUGGGGGUUAACAUAGAUCUUUUCUCUCAGGGCCUUUUGCUAAUGCUGUCUAAGUCUAAAAACAUCUGCCAUUGACUUCAGCUGCAACAUGACGGCAUAGCUCCCUAUUGCAAAGGAACUUCGGUAGCUAUUUGGAGUUUUACCAAUAGAGGGCUCUGUUGGUUUGAUUUAAGUCACGAAGAAGGGGGAGCCAGACUUUUUUUGGAGAGGGUGAUGAGGUUGCUAUAGUAAAUCCUAUAACCUAUAUAAAAGUGGAGUCAGCUGAAGUGCAUUGAAAGAAAUGCCUAAAGGGACAUCGUUUAGGUGUUACUCUAUCUGUUUUGUUGUUGGUUUGUUUUGGUGUUUUGAGAUACUGAUGCUGGGGGACUUGCUUAUCUGCUUUUGGAAAGGCACAGUCCAGAGCACUGUGAGGGUAUUUUAGGAAUAAGGCUAUAUUAGCAGUGUGAUAAUUUUAAAUGACCUGAAAUGUUUAAACCCUACCAAAAAUAAAAUUUUAUGACUGUAACUUCUUUACCAGAUAUUUUUUAGUCAUAUUUGCCCUUACAACAUAUAUUUUAAGCAUAACACAAAGAUAGAUGUGCAUGUUAGUGAAAAAAUGAAAAUCUGUGUUAAUAAAUACAAAAGUGACUUAAGGGAAAAUAUUUUCUUUCCUAGCUAGUUAGAGUUUUUAUAAUAUCCCACUUAAGAUUGAACAUAUUACUGGCUCAGCUGUAGGAGGCCAUAAAAAUAAAGUGAAAAAUAACCUAGAGUCUUUUGGGGUGUUUAACUACUAUCAAGUAGUGCCUAACCUCUCUCACUAAACAAGGUCUUGAUGCCCUGACUCACCUCUUCACUGCCACAAUAGGCCUUCCCAUUUCACUUUUUAGUAAUUGUUCCCCAUUUCUCAGUGACUGGAAUGAUGCUGGUCUCCCAGCACAUCUUGCUUUCGCAGGUUAGACAGACUGCAGUGGAAAUGUUCCACAAAGCACAGCAGACGAAAUUCACCGUUAUUUUAAUGGGGACAGCAUGGGAAUGAAGAAAUGAAACAGUGCUAACAAACAUGCUUGUGGAUGCAUGAUGGCAAGCACACACAUCUGCAUAUAAAUAUUAUAUAUGCACAUCUUUUUAAUGGGAGUCUGUGAUUGUUAGGUGUGCUUGCCUAAACACGAACUCUACAGCUAACCAAGCAAAAACCCCCCUCUACACAAACGUGUGUUUACAUACAUACAUACAUAAGAAAAAUAUAUAUCUGGUGUAUCAUUUCAAUGCGUAUGAAAACAGUGCACUGAAGUUCAUUUUAUUGUCAAGCAUAGUUUAAAUUCCAUUUUUAUGCAAUGGUGCAGUGACAAGCUUCCUAUAAAAUAAAUAUGGGCCGCAAAUGAAAAUACUUUAGCUUGCUGGUCUUACAUUUUUUUUUGUAGUAAUGAAUACAGACUUCAACUUGUGAAAAUAUAAAAUGAUCCUGCUUUCAGUAUAAAUGUCCCUCAAAAAAUCAAUUCCAAUUUCAUCUUUGUUUUACUAAAAAAAAUGAAAGAACAAAAAGAUCAGGACUAUAAAUAAUGACUACCUGUGGUUUUCAUAAAUAAAUAUCUCUAAAGCAGUGGAAAGCUGUGGAAAUGCAUGGAUAUUUUAUUUUCUCCUCCUUCAUGAAUUUGUUGUGUUGCAGGAAUGGGUAUAAAUAGAUGUCUAGAUGUGGUGCAGAUUCAGAUUCAGCCAUUUUCUCCAAAUAAAAACAUAUGUUUCCCUCUUGA
This is a long non-coding RNA of Melospiza melodia melodia, 4189 nucleotides long. RefSeq lists it as uncharacterized. The transcript is spliced from 5 exons. The record is from RefSeq and is a predicted model, not a curated record. Lineage: Eukaryota; Metazoa; Chordata; Aves; Passeriformes; Passerellidae.